AUUCGCGGCCUAUCAGCUUGUUGGUGGGGUAACGGCCUACCAAGGCGAUGACGGGUAGCGGGUCUGAGAGGACGAUCCGUCACACUGGGACUGAGACACUGCCCAGACUCCUACGGGAGGCUGCAGUCGAGAAUCUUCCGCAAUGGGCGAAAGCCUGACGGAGCGACACCGCGUGCAGGAUGAAGGCCCUCGGGUCGUAAACUGCUGUCACGCUAUAGGAAAUCUUCGGAUUGACCAAAGCGAAAGGAAGCACCGGCUAACUCCGUGCCAGCAGCCGUGGUAAUACGGAGGGCGCAAACGUUGUUCGGAAUCACUGGGCAUAAAGCGCACGUAGGCGGCUUUUUAAGUCGGAUGUGAAAGCCCUCGGCUCAACCGAGGAACUGCAUUCGAUACUGGAAGGCUCGAGUCUGGUUGGGGUGAGUGGAACUCCUGGUGGAGCGGUGAAAUGCGUAGAUAUCAGGAGGAACACCAGUGGCGAAAGCGGCUCACUGGACCAGUACUGACGCUGAGGUGCGAAAGCUAGGGUAGCGAACGGGAUUAGAUACCCCGGUAGUCCUAGCCGUAAACGAUGGGCACUAGGUUGAGGGAACACCUAUGGUUUUCUCAGCCGUAGCAAAUGUGUUAAGUGCCCCGCCUGGGGAGUACGGAAUCGUCGACCCGCCGC
Molecule: ribosomal RNA, 664 nt
Filed under: uncultured actinomycete
Lineage: Bacteria; Bacillati; Actinomycetota; Actinomycetes; Actinomycetales
Description: bacterial SSU rRNA
Rfam family: Bacterial small subunit ribosomal RNA
Source: RNAcentral